UUUUAAUUGAUAAUAGCUUUUUACUUUAUUGGUGGUGUUUGACAUUCUGUAAAGGGCAUAUCUCUCCGAUUUCCACGUCUAGUUAGAGUCCAUACGGCUAACAAAUCCCCUGAUCAAGCCUCAUCGUCUAAGCAGGUUGCUGAAAUAUAUCAAGCUCAAGCACAAAAACAAGAAUCACAUGGACAAUCCGUGAUGAAUAAAGACGAAGAUGAAUCACAUGAACAAUCUAAUAUCAUAAAUGAAGAUGAAGAUGAAGAUAAUUGACGGAAAAAAUGCCUCUGUGUUUUUUUUGGAAAAGGCAAAAAGAUUUAUUGAACUAAAGAAAUAAUGGCAUAAGGUAUGCCAAUACAACAGUAGCACACAAAUCCAAUACAAGGCACCUAAAAAAGCCCCCCAAAACCUGAAAAAAAACCUAAAAAAGCUGGGGAAAUUGAUGAUCAAAAAAACCUCUUACGCCGCUGCAACAUGCAGGACGGAUAACAUCCACUGCAGAGAACAAUACAACAAGAAAAAUAAGAUUGAAUAUUAGAAACAUGAUGGAGAAAAAGACUCUGGGGCCUCUGGCAAUAUAGUCCAGAAAAUGGUCAUCUUCACUUUGAGCACAAUUUUCUAUUCUUAUUUAAGGUGCCAUAGGUUCAAACUAAUUUUCAUUCUAAUUUUUCUACAAUUUUUUGAAUGUGUCACUUUAUAUUCUGCUUUUUGAACAUGAGAGCUUUAGUUGAUUUGAUUAGAA
Molecule: long non-coding RNA, 733 nt
Organism: Lathyrus oleraceus (garden pea)
Lineage: Eukaryota; Viridiplantae; Streptophyta; Magnoliopsida; Fabales; Fabaceae
Exons: 3
Source: RefSeq, a predicted model, not a curated record